This 30-nucleotide non-coding RNA is filed under the name Rattus norvegicus (Norway rat). The record is from RNAcentral. Lineage: Eukaryota; Metazoa; Chordata; Mammalia; Rodentia; Muridae.
UGAAUGACUAGAGUUUCGUUUGUGUGGCAG